GUGACACGAAAAUGGAUGAUCGUGGCUGGACUGGAUUUCACAGAACCCAGCUCGCAGCGGUAGAUGCCUGCAUCCUCUGGACUCACCAUGAUCUUGGUCAGGGUUGGCUGUAUCCCCUUGGACAUCAAGAGUCGGCCUCUGCUCUGGCUCCGCCCCUCUUACGCCAACCCCUCCUGCUGGGGCGAAGUCUCUCACCUCCGCAAUCCAAGGACUUUCGACAAGCGUGAACCUGCUCCUGGCAGGUACUGCACCAGAUCAGAGGCUGCAACAUCAAACCUGAAGGGACAGGAUCAAGGAAGCGGGGCUAAAAGGAGAGGGCAGGGCCAAGGGCUGGGGCUGGGUCGAGUGCUGAGUCCCUAGGUGGGGCUCGAAUGCAGGCCUGUAGGAAGCAGGCUCUACCAGGCUCAGCAAAGCAUGCAAAUAGAAUAUGACCCGUUUCCCAAGAACUCUGAGAUGCAGAAGGAAUAGUGGAGACCAAGCAACCUGACGCAGAGA
This is a non-coding RNA of Vicugna pacos (alpaca), 495 nucleotides long. The record is from RefSeq and is a predicted model, not a curated record. NCBI's taxonomy places the organism in Eukaryota, Metazoa, Chordata, Mammalia, Artiodactyla, Camelidae.